Molecule: small nucleolar RNA, 66 nt
Organism: Struthio camelus australis
Lineage: Eukaryota; Metazoa; Chordata; Aves; Struthioniformes; Struthionidae
Gene: SNORD42
Rfam family: Small nucleolar RNA SNORD42
About the family: snoRNA U42 is found in intron 3 of the ribosomal protein L23a (RPL23a) gene in humans and is also present in mice. U42 is a member of the C/D class of snoRNA which contain C (UGAUGA) and D (CUGA) box motifs.
Source: Ensembl
GUGCAGAUGAUGUAAACUUUUUUUCCACUGAGUGAACUGAUGUUUCCAAAGGAACCACUGAUGCAC